Bombus huntii is the source of this 1348-nucleotide long non-coding RNA. RefSeq lists it as uncharacterized. The record is from RefSeq and is a predicted model, not a curated record. The transcript has 2 exons. NCBI's taxonomy places the organism in Eukaryota, Metazoa, Arthropoda, Insecta, Hymenoptera, Apidae.
UUUAGCAGUAUUCCAUUGAAGAUGAUAACCAUAGUCUUUUCUCAAAACUAGUACAAAAGACGCAGUUAUAGGGACUAACAUUAAUUGUGGAAAUACGUGUGCAAGAAGUUCACUUUGCAAAACUCAUUUGCUAAUUAGCAGAGAAAACAUAUGUUUGAACCUUACUUGCAGAGAAGGCUGCAUCGACAAUGGCAUCGAUUGUACUCGAGAUCGAGACACAGUAUUCGAUCUUAAAAUUCCAGAAAUUUUCUCCGUGGAUUCCUGUUUCAUACUUUCCUUCAUAUCUAUAUUCACGACUAAAGAAUUAUUUUACUAUAUUAAACUGGCCAAAUUGCCAAAUAAAAAAAGAAACCGUGAUCUUUCGCGGUUUAUUCUUAUUAGAAACCAAUCAUUACACCUGCAAAAUUUUCAAUAAAUUUCAGUUUAUUAAAAUUUAACCGUUACUUCACUAAAACUUUAAUUCCUUUUUUAAAGAUAUUUCUCAUUAUUUUUAUUAUUGACAAACUUUAAGCUAAGUAACGCAUCAAGUUAAAAAGUUUUACUUAUAAAUUUUAUAAAUAUGUUUAAAAAAUUUUUAUGUAGGUUUGUAUAAGACAAAAUACAAGUAUGUAUAUUUUUCAGGAGUUAAAUUGUUCUGGUCUUUUUAAGGUCUGCUGGUAUACUGAUUACCAUAAAGGCAGGAAAGUACAAGCACUGUCAGAAUAGUGAACUACACAGUAUGAUUACCCUAUUAAUACUGAAAGAUACUAACACGUAUUAAACUUCAAGCCAUUAAUAGUAGCAGAUACAGUGGAAAGGAUAUAAUUAAACACGUCGAUUUUUCACAGAGCAUUUUAUUUACUGGCCAUUGCAAUUUUUAAAUAUACUUUCUGAUGGCUUCAACGUUUUCAUAAACCAAUUGUUUAUCUUAAUUUAUUUUAAUUGCGAGUUUAACAUGUCAGAGCUACAUAUUUAUAUACUCUUCUGAAUUCAACAUAUAGAUUUGUCUUUUUCUUUUUACGUUCAUUAAUUUUUCCAUACAUACAAUACAAAAAGAAUUUUCUUCCCUAAGAAAUAUGUUGGAUAAAAUUCAUAAGAAUUUAACACCAGAUUAAAUCUGCAUCUUUCUAUUUUACAGUACAGAGUUUGACUUGUAAAAUUAGUUAUAGAUGUGUAAUAAGUAUGUACAAGAAUGAUGUACUUUAUAUACACUUAUUUGUCACACGCUGAUCACAAAUUGUUUGCUCGCUUGUUGUAAAUACACUUUAUUAAAAGCUCUACUCUUUUGGCACGAGUUCGCCAAAUCUAAAGGAUACACUAAAUUUAUACUUUCCGCUAUCAAUGUCUGAUUUUAUCAUUCAAAAAAAGA